RNAcentral lists this ribosomal RNA (298 nucleotides) under Phaeoclavulina abietina. RNAcentral describes it as "partial 25S large subunit ribosomal RNA". It matches the Rfam family "Eukaryotic large subunit ribosomal RNA", at positions 371 to 655 of the family's 3401-position model. Lineage: Eukaryota; Fungi; Basidiomycota; Agaricomycetes; Gomphales; Gomphaceae. The record is from RNAcentral.
GCACUUUGGAAAGAGAGUUAAACAGUACGUGAAAUUGUUGAAAGGGAAACGAUUGAAGUCAGUCGCGUCUCUCAGAGACUCAGCCUCGCUUCUGCUUGGUGCACUUCUCGAGAUGACGGGCCAGCAUCAAUUUCGAUCGAUAGAGAAAGGCGGGGGGAAUGUGGCACCUUCGGGUGUGUUAUAGCCCUUUGUCGUAUGUAUCGGUCGGGAUUGAGGAUCGCAGCACGCCUUCAUGGCCGGGGUUCGCCCACGUAACGUGCUUAGGAUGCUGGCGUAAUGGCUUUAAACGACCCGUCUU